UGAGGAACAUGACCUUCGGCGGGGGAUAGCCGGCCCAACGGCCGGGUAAUACCGCGUACGACCACAUGGGGACAUCCCUGGGUGGUGAAAGCAGCAAUGCGCCGAUGGAGUGCCUCGCGGCCUAUCAGCUAGUUGGUGAGGUAAUGGCUCACCAAGGCAACGACGGGUAGCUGGUCUGAGAGGAUGGCCAGCCACAUUGGGACUGAGACACGGCCCAGACUCUACGGGAGG
Molecule: ribosomal RNA, 231 nt
Filed under: uncultured bacterium
Lineage: Bacteria
Description: partial 16S ribosomal RNA
Rfam family: Bacterial small subunit ribosomal RNA
Source: RNAcentral